This 858-nucleotide ribosomal RNA is filed under the name Triticum aestivum (bread wheat). RNAcentral describes it as "partial small subunit ribosomal RNA". Lineage: Eukaryota; Viridiplantae; Streptophyta; Magnoliopsida; Poales; Poaceae. The record is from RNAcentral.
AUGAAAUCUAACCGUGCCCCUGGCCCAGACGAUAUCCCUGUUGAAUUUUAUCAACACUGCUGGGAUGUAGUAGCCCGUGAUCUCCUAUGCCUAUUUGAAUGGUUUCAUGAAGGCAAGUUAGAUGUUCAACGACUUAAUUAUGGUAUCAUAACCUUGCUGCCUAAGUUGACUGAUGCUAAUAAAAUCCAGCAGUAUAGGCCCAUUUGUCUAUUACGUUGCCCUUACAAGCUACUCACUAAAGCCAUGGAUAUUAGAGCUAGCAAAUAUGCCCAUAAAUUGUUCAGUAUUCAACAGAAUGCUUUUAUUAAGGGGAGACACAUAGUGGAUGGGAUCCUAUCGCUACAUGAGGUUCUACAUUAUACCCACCUCAAAAAACAAGUGGGAGUGAUUCUUAAACUUGAUUUCGAGAAAGCAUAUGACAAAGUCAAUUGGGACUUUUUGCUUGAUUGUCAUAGGAAGCGUGGAUUUAGCUCUAAGUGGUGUGGAUGUGUAUCUCAAAUCCUAAAAAAUGGCACGGUUAGUGUCAAGAUUAAUGACGAGGUGGGACCUUACAUUCAAAGUGCUAAGGGGGUGAGACAGGGGGAUCCUCACUCCCCUUUCCUGUUCAAUAUUGCGGCUGAUUGCCUAACCAAAAUGGUUCUUACAGCUCAAAAAAAUGGUCUCAUUAAAGGGUUAGCCGCUGAUAUUGAGAAUGGUGUUGGCAUUCUACAAUACGCGGACUACACGGUGCUUUGUUUUGAACAUGAUGUUGACAAAGCUGUUAAUAUCAAACUCUUGUUGUAUCUCUUCGAAUUUAAGUCUGGGCUUAAGAUCAACUUUGAGAAGAGUGAGAUAUUUAGCAUGGGGGGGGGGGGAUAA